Long non-coding RNA from Neopelma chrysocephalum (saffron-crested tyrant-manakin), 5653 nucleotides. RefSeq lists it as uncharacterized. The transcript is spliced from 3 exons. The record is from RefSeq and is a predicted model, not a curated record. NCBI's taxonomy places the organism in Eukaryota, Metazoa, Chordata, Aves, Passeriformes, Pipridae.
AGUAGUAUUGUUUCAUACAGAAGAAGCAAGGCUCAGAUCUAGCUAAGAUGACUUGUCAACUUCCCUACAUCUUCAUCGAUAGAACCUACCAGCAGCAGGGAAAAAAGCUGCACUUCUUAUGUUACUGUUGGAUCCUCCAUAAAGAUUCACUGUUGUCAGAUACAUAAUUUCUAAUUCUGGGAAUAAUAUGAUGCCCUGAUGUUAGCACUAAAGUGAAAAUGCAUACUCUGGCUUUGUAGUUUCUUGGACUAAAAAGCAACUGACUUGCUCAUGUAGGACUUGUUAGGUGUUAGUUAUUGAUUAUAUCAUGUUUAUUCUGUCUCUUCCUUUAAGACCACUGUGGUAUUUUGUGCUGCACUCUGAUGCUUUAGCUCCUUACAGCUGAACUGGAGAUGCAGGAAAACUGCCAUACCUAAAUAACACAAGUGCAGCAACUUCAGUGCCUGCUCAGCAGCCUUCAGUAUCCAGUAUCCAGAAGCUGACUCUUACUCACUCCAUCCGUGGAUGCAUGUGAGCCAGCCAGGCACAGUGUCAGGACUCAGUGGGCGUUAGACAGCACUGAUGGGAUUGCUGCUGUGCAGGGGAGCGGAAGAACUGCCUUGUUGCACCAUGUACGAGUGUUCUUACACAGCUCUGAGCUUUCACAAAUGCAGUGUCCAGGCCAAAAAGACUUGCUUUCUGGCAACUUGUCUACCACCUGCAGCUGUCCUACUUGGGGAUAAAGGUGUGGUAGAUUUGUUUCUGAACGUGCCCUGGCUUUAUGAGGGGUCUCUCCUGCUUUUUCAAGCCCUUCCAGAAGUCUGAAUGGGAAAAAGGUGCCUUGAGAGGAGAGGAGUGAGCUGUGUGAGUUAAUGGGAGCUAGCAGGGAUGCCUGCAAGAAUACACCAUCACAUAUGAUGGGAAACCAACUAGACCAAUGGUUGCAGCUGCCCCACAUUCAAGAUAUUUGGGAACAGAGAGGGUGUUUGAAGUACUUAGUUCUUCUGCUGUGCAGAAUUCAUACUAAAUUUGACAGGGCCUGUGCCUUGAUUUGAUGAUACCGUUCUCCUAAAAGGAAGAAGCAAAUUGAUUGCUUGUUAACAGAAUGCUCUAAAUUAACCUCAGGCCUGGGCCUGGCCCUGCAAACCUUUGCAUGACUGUGAUUAUUAUUUAUGCUGUAUGAUUGCAUUGAAUACCGCUGACUGUUCAAUAUAUUGGCCUGGCACAGCUGCGCUGAAAUUUUAGUUGUGGCUUUCGGUUGUUGGAAAUGAAAUUUUUGAAGCUGUUUAGGUGUUUGGAUUUUGAAUACCCCAUUAAGCACCUACUUGACUAUUUAAAUGCCUAGAUGUCUUUGUACAUCUAGUGUUGCCAUAAUGCAAAAAAAAAGGAAAUGAUAUAGAAGGUUUGCUGGGUCAGGCCUCUAGUUUCAUAUCCCAGCAGUGAUAACUAGGUAUAUACACCGUAGUUCACCGCAGACGUCUCUUUUGCUUGAGGAAUCUUGAUGGAGACUUUUACAUAGUAGAGAUAAAAAUACUGCAAACAUACAUCCUGCAUUAGCCUUUAUAUAUUUUAUAGCUGUACUGUUCUAGUGUGGUAAACUGAGCUGAGCAAUCACAUUUUUUCAAUUAUCCUCAAGAACAGGAAAUCCUUAUCACCUCUGUGUUUCUUUCUCCCACUACUGCAGCAUUGGUCUUGAAAUUGUCACCACAGCUCAAAAUCCUCAUUCUGUAAAUUAAACUGUGAUUUAAAAAAAUUUUACAGUACAGCCUCCUCAUAAAACUCCACAAGUCUUUUACUGAUGUGACUCACUCAAUUACUCAUGUGGGCAGACGUUCAGAUAAUAAAAGUGGUUAAUGGAAAGCUAUGAGAAAUACUGCUGGUUCCUGAGGAGGCAGCCAGGGGGAAGGCUACUGUGGGUAUUUUAUCCUAAGAGCUGCUGAAUUCACUGAGCUCCCAGCCAUUUUUUUAAGAUAAGGAUUUCUCCGUUCUGCUUUUUCCUUUGUAUAAGAACAGCUUGAGAAAUCAAACUGGCAACAGAGAAGCAAAAGCACACCAGCUGUACAUGUUUGCUCUUCUGCUCCUCUUCCUACAUAUUAGGGAUGAUAGCCAGCCUGUGCCCUGAAAAAAUCUCUUUAUCCUAGUGAUGUAUGUACCUAAACAACACUCAGUACUCUAAUGAGCUCUGGAUUCCUGAAUCAAGGAGUGGAACUAACAAGUAGCUAAAUAACCCCUUUGUUUGGAGGUGUCACAUAUACUGACAAGGAUCAGAUUUUUCUGGAAUUAAUAAUAGUGUCUUGACUUUGGUGUGCAAUAGGUCAGGUAAUACAUCUAGAAAGCAGGUUUCAAUGACAUUUCAGUGAGUGCACAUUAGAGGAAUAUGGCACAUUUUGAAGUUGGUGAGGCAGAAAGGUACUGAAGAGUAGUAAGGUACCACUUAGAUGUGAGAGCCCCCUUACAAAAUGAAAUUAUACAUGUAUGAUGACUUCAAAGAGACUUAGAAUUAAGCCAAAACUGGAACUAGCAUAAGUGGACCAACUGAUUAGAGCUAAGGCCUAGCUGGCAUUUGCAAAACAACCAGAGCAGUUAACUCUUGGUUGUGUGGCUCUGAGGCUGCUAGAUUUGCCUACAAAUGGCUGUGUGAGCCCAUUCCAACAACAGUGCUGGAUAUAGAAAGAGAGAGGACAUGAGGAUAUGCUCAUUUUUCAUGCAAAAUGAGCUGCAGGGAGAAUAUGGCUUGACUUGUAAAAUAGAGCUUCUGGCACAGAGAAGCAGUGCAUGGAUGUUGAGGCUCUGGAUCAGAGAAAGUAAGCUGUCAAAUUAUAUUUAGCGACUACAUGCUGCAGGAAAGCGCAGAGAGGGAAGGAGGGAACUAUUGCGUAGCUGGGCCCCAUGGGUAGUGAGCACACAGAGCAGGGAAUGAGGCUGUUCAGAGAGGAUGAAUUGCCUUGGUGUUCCUGAUUCAAAGAAAUCUCUGUGUGAGGCCAGGGAUCUGCACAGAUUUGUAUGACUACUUUGAUCAGCAGAACUCUGCUUUAUUUAUCCCCAGACUCCAUCAGGUGAAGAGUGACCAACUUGUGGCCUUCCAGACAUUCCCUCUGCCCUCACCCUAGGGAUGUUUCCCACAGCAAUGCCAUUCCCAGCUGCGGAAGCAGUAGUCUGAUGGGGGCUCUUGGAACCAAUAUCUCAAACUGCUGUACAGCCCAGCUGCACACCUGGCUCAGUCCCAACCCAUCAGAAGCUUGUUAGCUAAGGUUGGCAUCUGCAAAAUAGGUUACCCUGCUCCAUUUGAAUUCAGGGGUGUGAGUGCUCCAUUGUGUUCCCUGGAAAGCCCAGUUCUAAAGAGAUGAAGGUGGAAAAAAAGUCCUUAUACCUGUAUGAGAUAGAUCAAACCUUGUAUGCUGACAUGUGACAGUUGAUCAUUCGGGUCCUGUCUUAUACUCCAGGGUGCAGAGAUUGUGACUGACUAGUUUAUAGCAGGAUGGGUACAGCUUAGGCUCUAAUUCUUUCCUGCUAAAAGCUGACUUGUAUGAUUCAGAAAUGUCUUUGCCUUUGAAAUAAAUAAGGCCUUUAAGCUCCCUCUCAGAGGAGACUGUGGGGAGGCCUGGCUGCCUUCUCUGCAUAAAUAUUUCUGUCAAACUGGAUUCAGGCUGAGGUGGGUGAAACUGCUGCACCAACUGGGAGCCAUCGACUUCCAUCUCCUGUUAGGCACUACUGCAUCAUUGAGAUUUGUGUUGUUACUGUACUGUCAAAAAUAGCUGUGAGUGAGAGAAAGGGCUGAAAUGCUCCCAUGUGUUCACCAAGCAGGAGGGCAGAGCAGUUAGGAGAAGGAGAGAGAUGCAGAUUGUGAUAGUGAACAGAAGAUGUGCAAGGAGGAACUGCCUUCACAGUCUCAUGAAAGGGUGGCCAUGAUGCGUGAUGGAAGGAGGAAGGAUGACUUCACAGAUGUAAUUUAUUAUACUUCCUAUGCAAGGGAGUUAUGCUAGUUCCAGAAAGAACACACAUUGGUUUGGUGGCUCCUAAGAAUAUGCAAGGGAGAAACAAAGACCUCAGAGAAUGGUUCUACCUGUUCUAGCUGCUGCAGAUCAAACUUGAAAAUGUGAAAAAAGCAUCAGUAGGUGCUUUGGAUCAUGAGACUGGCAAAGGCUGGCCAUCCCAGCAGAGGCAGAUCCAGACACUGUGAAGUGAGCAUGAAGGCAUGACUGUGUCUUUGUUGAGGCAGUGAAGAUACAUACUUCAGUUACAGAUUAUUUUCUUCACUCACCCAGUUUUCCUUCCCUCUCUCCACUAAAUGUUACCUUUCAGCUAAAGGGCCGAUAUAUAUGGUCAGUACACAUGACCAGAACUUUGGUGUCAGAGUCCUUUGUCCUUUAUACAGCAGCAAAUCUGCUCCAUGUGAUGGAACAGCACAGGGAUUUUUUCUUUUGUUUCUACUGUUUACAAAAUGUGGGGAAAAAAAAGUUAAAGGAAAAAUGGUUAUAAAACUAGAGCAGAGUUAUAGAAAUGUGUGAACUGAAAACCUGCAGGAGGAUCUGUUUGAGAUCUGACCUGGUCAUUUGUCUAAAGAGGAUGUUUACUCACGCCACCUGAUGUGGUGACUGUGCUGUCCAGUUCUCCAUAGAGCAAAGUAAAUGGAAGAGGCUUUUGGCUGUGAUUUCUUACUGUGGUGAAAAAAUAGGUGGCCUUUGAACUACCCCAUUAUUACUUUUCUCUAAUAAAGAAUUGGUGAUUCAAACUGUAUAUGGGACACCCACGCAGAGUUCCCAGCUGGAAGAUUGCACAUGACCAAAGGGUUGGUUCAUCUGUGCAAACUAUUGUGAGGAGGGAACUCCCUUGGGUGAUGGGCAGAGGUAAAAACCUAAUGCAUGAAAGAGAACUUGGAAGAAUAGUGGUCUCACUGUGCUUUUGAAUCUUGACCUCCAAUAUAAACUCUCUAGACUGCUUGCUUUUCUAUUUUCUAGUGACUGUUUGAACAGCACCUUUAGGUGGAAAAUACGUUUGCUUCUCAGUCUUAAAGAUACUGAUCUAAGGGAAAAUCUUGCACAAAAGGAUUGAGGAAAAGUUAGAAAAGUUAAAAUGUGUAAUAAAUUAGGGCUGAGAGAAUAUAAAAAAAUAGGUUAGCACAUCACUUGACAGAUGGGAAGUCAUUUAUGUAAAUUUAGGGAAGUAGUGGUUGGAUUCAAUUGGUCUAAUUUCAACGCUAUUUCUAAUUAUUUUUGGUAUGUAUACAGAGGAUUAUAUGAUGACCAUUAUUCUGACAGGAAGGCUCUUCAUAUUUAAAUUUAAAUCUACAAAUUAUUACCCUAUUAAAAUGUAAACAUGCUGUGAUAACAAGCACCUGAUUAUGCAGACAGGUUAGUCCAGCUACUCUGGUGAACAGCUGUGUGCAUGUAUUUCAGAUAAUGCUUUUUUUUAAAGCCUAAAAACCACAAGCAAGCCAUUGAGAGGUCAAGAGAUGUCUGACCCACAGGUGGGAGCUGCCUGUAAGGAGGUUUGCUGGCACUGAGUGCAGAUCUGAGAGCAGAUGGGCUCUCACAGGUUUCCACUGAAAGCAGGCCCUGGCGGCACCCAAAAGUACAGAGAAGAUGACACAAUUAACAAUUCCCCCUCCCUACAGUCUGGUGCUGCUAAUCCCAAGUUAAAACUCCUAACAGCAUCUUUGGAGAACCUUCCUCUU